CAGGGAUUCCCCUAGUAAUGGCGAAUGACCAGGGAAAAGCCCAACUUUAAAAUCACUUAACCGUGAAUUGUAGUUUAUAAAAAGGGUAGAAUUAUAUUAUCUUAUCUUAAGUUUCUUGAAAAAGUACUACAAAGAGGGUGAAAUUCCCGUUUUGGCAUAAGUAAUAAUAUAAAACUUAACUUUUUAGAGUCAUGUUGCUUGUGAAUGCAGCAUAAAAUGGGAGGUAAAUUCCUUCUAAGGCUAAAUACUGGUAGGAGUCCGAUAGUAAACAAGUACCUUAAGGGAAAGAUGAAAGAGAACCUUGAAAAGGGUCUCAAAAGAAAGUGAAAUUGUUAUAAGGAAACCACUUAAAACUUCUGGAGUUUAUAUAUUAAUGUAUAAGGGAGCAAUCCUUUUGUCCUUAGUAUAUAGAUGGCUAUUGCUAAAGUUUGAGCUUAUAAAAAUUAUGAGGGGGAGGUAAGUUAAAUCUAGGUUUAACUUCUUAUAACCCUUUUAAUUUUUUAAAGUUUAAGCUGGUGUACAAAGUCAUAAGGUAGCUAGCUCUUAAUAUAAAUAUUAUAAUAGAUUUAUCUAAAGUUUUAUUUAUAGUAAGGUCUAUCACUAUCGCUAUGCUUUAAUAGUUAAGGAGACUUAAGUGACCCGUCUUGAAACACGGACCAAGGAGUCUAACAUAUAUGCAAGUAUUAUGGUGUAAAAACUAAAAUGCGUAAUGAAAGUAAUUUCUGGGUAGGAACUCGAAAGAGCGCACUAUCGACCGAGCUAUAGGGAUUUUUUUCUAUGGUUUGAGUAAGAGCAUAUAUGUUGGUACCCGAAAGAUGGUGAACUAUACCUGAAUAGGGUGAAGCCAGGGGAAACCCUGGUGGAAGCUCGUAGCGAUUCUGACGUGCAAAUCGAUCGUCGAAUUUGGGUAUAGGGGGCGAAAGACUA
This 927-nucleotide ribosomal RNA is filed under the name Erynia sciarae. RNAcentral's name for it is "eukaryotic LSU rRNA". It matches the Rfam family "Eukaryotic large subunit ribosomal RNA", at positions 69 to 933 of the family's 3401-position model. Lineage: Eukaryota; Fungi; Entomophthoromycota; Entomophthoromycetes; Entomophthorales; Entomophthoraceae. The record is from RNAcentral.